AAUCACCUACACCGGUAGCAGCCUGAAGACCUAAUGGAUUUUGCCUCUUCUCAUCAUCUCAAUGGACUCCUCAGCUAAUUUAACACUCGAUCACUGGAACACACAGUACAGUUGCUUACCGACCAUCAUGAACAGAAGUGAAAUCACCAUGCAGAUUUUGAGCCCCUCAAGGAACAGGAUCCAUGUCUAAAUCCCACUUCUAUAGUCUUUCCCAGAGUUUAGCACCAUGCCCUGCACAGAACUGUGAGCUCCUUGCAGGCAAAGAAUGUGUUGAUCAUCUCUGUUUUAUCGUAUUCCCCCAAGGACUUAGCAGAGUUCUCGGCAAACGGUAAGAGCUCAGUAAAUACCUCUGAUUGAUUGAUUGAUUGAUUCACAACCUUCAUCUGGAGAGUCCUUAGAUAUCCUUGACAGUAGAUAUCUCUGGGUCUGAGCUGGCUAAAGAUUCUGACAGGCAGUUCAUUAACUGUCCCUCACAAGGUGAUUCUUUCUUGGAUGACUUUGCCAUUUGUGAACACCUCACUGCUUGGAGAUCAUUUUCUCCAAGGCUCAGAAUUUUCCCAAAGCCCCCAUUCUUCAUGUGCUUUUGCUAAUGUUGUUUUUGGGUGACAUUUAUAUUACUCUUUUUAUAUGAAAAAAUAAAUUGGAAUAGAGGGAAGCAACUAAGCG
Ornithorhynchus anatinus (platypus) is the source of this 666-nucleotide long non-coding RNA. RefSeq lists it as uncharacterized. The transcript has 3 exons. The record is from RefSeq and is a predicted model, not a curated record. Lineage: Eukaryota; Metazoa; Chordata; Mammalia; Monotremata; Ornithorhynchidae.